UCUGGGACAAGCCCUGGAAACGGGGUCUAAUACCGGAUAACACUCCUUCCUGCAUGGGGAGGGGUUGAAAGCUCCGGCGGUGAAGGAUGAGCCCGCGGCCUAUCAGCUUGUUGGUGGGGUGAUGGCCUACCAAGGCGACGACGGGUAGCCGGCCUGAGAGGGCGACCGGCCACACUGGGACUGAGACACGGCCCAGACUCCUACGGGAGGCAGCAGUGGGGAAUAUUGCACAAUGGGCGAAAGCCUGAUGCAGCGACGCCGCGUGAGGGAUGACGGCCUUCGGGUUGUAAACCUCUUUCAGCAGGGAAGAAGCGAAAGUGACGGUACCUGCAGAAGAAGCGCCGGCUAACUACGUGCCAGCAGCCGCGGUAAUACGUAGGGCGCAAGCGUUGUCCGGAAUUAUUGGGCGUAAAGAGCUCGUAGGCGGCUUGUCACGUCGGAUGUGAAAGCCCGGGGCUUAACCCCGGGUCUGCAUUCGAUACGGGCUAGCUAGAGUGUGGUAGGGGAGAUCGGAAUUCCUGGUGUAGCGGUGAAAUGCGCAGAUAUCAGGAGGAACACCGGUGGCGAAGGCGGAUCUCUGGGCCAUUACUGACGCUGAGGAGCGAAAGCGUGGGGAGCGAACAGGAUUAGAUACCCUGGUAGUCCACGCCGUAAACGUUGGGAACUAGGUGUUGGCGACAUUCCACGUCGUCGGUGCCGCAGCUAACGCAUUAAGUUCCCCGCCUGG
RNAcentral lists this ribosomal RNA (727 nucleotides) under Streptomyces sp. RNAcentral's name for it is "bacterial SSU rRNA". It matches the Rfam family "Bacterial small subunit ribosomal RNA", at positions 137 to 876 of the family's 1533-position model. Lineage: Bacteria; Bacillati; Actinomycetota; Actinomycetes; Kitasatosporales; Streptomycetaceae. The record is from RNAcentral.